CCUACGGGAGGCAGCAGUGAGGAAUAUUGGUCAAUGGACGAGAGUCUGAACCAGCCAAGUAGCGUGAAGGAUGACUGCCCUAAGGGUUGUAAACUUCUUUUAUAUGGGAAUAAAAUGUUCCACGUGUGGGAUUUUGUAUGUACCAUAUGAAUAAGGAUCGGCUAACUCCGUGCCAGCAGCCGCGGUAAUACGGAGGAUCCGAGCGUUAUCCGGAUUUAUUGGGUUUAAAGGGAGCGUAGGUGGAUUGUUAAGUCAGUUGUGAAAGUUUGCGGCUCAACCGUAAAAUUGCAGUUGAAACUGGCAGUCUUGAGUACAGUAGAGGUGGGCGGAAUUCGUGGUGUAGCGGUGAAAUGCUUAGAUAUCACGAAGAACUCCGAUUGCGAAGGCAGUUCACUGGACUGCAACUGACACUGAGGCUCGAAAGUGUGGGUAUCAAACAGGAUUAGAUACCCCAGUAGUC
RNAcentral lists this ribosomal RNA (460 nucleotides) under uncultured bacterium. RNAcentral describes it as "partial 16S ribosomal RNA". It matches the Rfam family "Bacterial small subunit ribosomal RNA", at positions 338 to 795 of the family's 1533-position model. The record is from RNAcentral.